This 448-nucleotide ribosomal RNA is filed under the name uncultured bacterium. RNAcentral's name for it is "bacterial SSU rRNA". It matches the Rfam family "Bacterial small subunit ribosomal RNA", at positions 96 to 562 of the family's 1533-position model. The record is from RNAcentral.
UGGCGGACGGGCGAGUAACGCGUGAGCAACCUGCCCUAUGCAGGGGGAUAACACCGGGAAACCGGUGCUAAUACCGCAUAAGACCACACUGGCACAUGUCAGAGUGGUAAAAGCUCCGGCGGCAUAGGAUGGGCUCGCGUCCAAUUAGCUUGUUGGUAGGGUAACGGCCUACCAAGGCGACGAUUGGUAGCCGAACUGAGAGGUUGGUCGGCCGCAUUGGGACUGAGACACGGCCCAGACUCCUACGGGAGGCAGCAGUGGGGAAUAUUGCGCAAUGGGGGAAACCCUGACGCAGCGACGCCGCGUGAAGGAAGAAGGCCUUCGGGUUGUAAACUUCUUUGGUCGGGGACGAAGAUGACGGUACCCGAAUAACAAGCCACGGCUAACUACGUGCCAGCAGCCGCGGUAAUACGUAGGUGGCGAGCGUUGUCCGGAAUUACUGGGUGUA